RNAcentral lists this ribosomal RNA (253 nucleotides) under uncultured bacterium. RNAcentral's name for it is "partial 16S ribosomal RNA". It matches the Rfam family "Bacterial small subunit ribosomal RNA", at positions 524 to 776 of the family's 1533-position model. The record is from RNAcentral.
UACGUAGGGCGCAAGCGUUGUCCGGAAUUAUUGGGCGUAAAGAGCUCGUAGGCGGUUUGUCGCGUCUGCUGUGAAAACCUAAGGCUCAACCUUGGGCUUGCAGUGGGUACGGGCAGACUGGAGUGCGGUAGGGGUGACUGGAAUUCCUGGUGUAGCGGUGGAAUGCGCAGAUAUCAGGAGGAACACCGAUGGCGAAGGCAGGUCACUGGGCCGCAACUGACGCUGAGGAGCGAAAGCGUGGGGAGCGAACAGG